GAUGAACGCUGGCGGCGUGCCUAAUACAUGCAAGUCGAGCGAACAGAUGAGGAGCUUGCUCCUCUGACGUUAGCGGCGGACGGGUGAGUAACACGUGGAUAACCUACCUAUAAGACUGGGAUAACUUCGGGAAACCGGAGCUAAUACCGGAUAAUAUAUUGAACCGCAUGGUUCAAUAGUGAAAGACGGUUUUGCUGUCACUUAUAGAUGGAUCCGCGCCGCAUUAGCUAGUUGGUAAGGUAACGGCUUACCAAGGCAACGAUGCGUAGCCGACCUGAGAGGGUGAUCGGCCACACUGGAACUGAGACACGGUCCAGACUCCUACGGGAGGCAGCAGUAGGGAAUCUUCCGCAAUGGGCGAAAGCUUGACGGAGCAACGCCGCGUGAGUGAAGAAGGUCUUCGGAUUGUAAAACUCUGUUAUUAGGGAAGAACAAAAGUGGAAGUAACUAUGCACGUCUUGACGGUACCUAAACAGAAAGCCACGGCUAACUACGUG
RNAcentral lists this ribosomal RNA (497 nucleotides) under uncultured bacterium. RNAcentral describes it as "partial 16S ribosomal RNA". It matches the Rfam family "Bacterial small subunit ribosomal RNA", at positions 28 to 507 of the family's 1533-position model. The record is from RNAcentral.